RNAcentral lists this long non-coding RNA (1161 nucleotides) under Homo sapiens (human). Its description in RNAcentral is "novel transcript, antisense to WNK1". Lineage: Eukaryota; Metazoa; Chordata; Mammalia; Primates; Hominidae. The record is from RNAcentral.
UUUCUUUUUUCUUUUUUUUGAGAUGGAGUCUUCCUCUUUCGCCCAGGCUGGAGUGCAAUUCCAUCUCCAAAACAUAAAUAAAUAAGUAAAUAAUAGUAAGAAUUCACUAUCACAGCCUCCCCCGCUUUUUAAAAGAAUUCAGUUUCAUUCUUCCAUAGGGAAGAUCCUUAUCGAGCUGGCAAAGUAGAUCAACUGUUCACAAUAGCUAAAUAAGGAUUUCUAUUUUCAGUCAGAAUGCUCAUUUUAUUGUUAUUUACUCAUGGUAUGUCUCAAAGCCAUAAUAACACUGUAUAGUUCUUCAUUCUCCUAAGUAAAAAUCUGAAAAUUCUGGGGUUGCUAGUUCAGAAAGUUAACUAUAUUCUUUAUUUGGAAAAGCAGCAAGGACCCACAUGCUUAAAAUAAUUUUAUAAGAUAGAUCUUUUAUAAACAUUAAUGGAGCCAAAGAAAGUCAUACAUACUAUAUAUGCAUCUAAUGCAUUCAUUAGAGCUACAGUCCCACCUUAGGUUGAAACCUAAGGAAAAAAUACUUCCAUGGGGGAACAUUAUGUAGUUCUUUGGUUUGCUGAUACAUCAUCUUACAUAAAUGAUUAAAUUAAAAUAAAUGUUCACUCCAAGGUUAUUCUUUGCUGACUAAGGUUAUUAAAAAAAAAAAGGACUCAUCCAGUUUUAUUAGUGUCUCCUUAGAAUAAAGUGAGGAGAAAAAAUGUUUGGGUAAUGUUUGAUAAAAUUUGCUUUUGAUUAAGGCAAUAACUUUAAAAUUAAUCCUUUUAAAACUAGAAUAUGAAAAUGAAAGAAUUUUAUGUCGAUAGGAAACAGGAAGAUAUAAUGAAAGGUAAAUUUUAUUGGACACAUGCUGGUAUGUGCCAAGGACAUUAUAGGUAUUCUCUCUCAUUACCUCCUUGCUUUUUAUUCCCCCUUAAAGCCUUAUUACAAAAAAGUUUCCUACAGGAAUAACUGGUAUCCUAGAAGCAUAAUAUAACCAAGUUUAGUCCUGUUCUUUAUUCAAUUUUAAUUAAAAUUCUUGUUGCCUGGAUGUAUUCAUUGGUAAUAAUUGUUCAUUUGUCAGAAGUUUACAGUUACAUACAGUACUGACAAAGAGGGAAGGCAGGCUGGAGCGUCGGUGCUUGCGCUGAGAGGCAGAGUGCAUAGGCAGGACACUCU